RNAcentral lists this ribosomal RNA (515 nucleotides) under uncultured bacterium. RNAcentral's name for it is "partial 16S ribosomal RNA". It matches the Rfam family "Bacterial small subunit ribosomal RNA", at positions 28 to 523 of the family's 1533-position model. The record is from RNAcentral.
GAUGAACGCUGGCGGCGUGCCUAAUACAUGCAAGUCGAGCGAAUGGAUUAAGAGCUUGCUCUUAUGAAGUUAGCGGCGGACGGGUGAGUAACACGUGGGUAACCUGCCCAUAAGACUGGGGUAACUCCGGGAAACCGGGGCUAAUACCGGAUAACAUUUUGAACCGCAUGGUUCGAAAUUGAAAGGCGGCUUCGGCUGUCGCUUAUGGAUGGACCCGCGUCGCAUUAGCUAGUUGGUGAGGUAACGGCUCACCAAGGCAACGAUGCGUAGCCGACCUGAGAGGAUGAUCGGCAACACUGGGACUGAGACACGGCCCAGACGCCUACGGGAGGCAGCAGUAGGGAAUCUUCCGCAAUGGACGAAAGUCUGACGGAGCAACGCCGCGUGAGUGAUGAAGGCUUUCGGGUCGUAAAACACUGUCGUUAGGGAAGAACAAGUGCUAGUUGAAUAAGCUGGCACCUUGACGGUACCUAACCAGAAAGCCACGGCUAACUACGUGCCAGCCGCCGCAGUAA